RNAcentral lists this microRNA precursor (114 nucleotides) under Otolemur garnettii (small-eared galago). Its description in RNAcentral is "miRNA (ENSOGAG00000017330.2)". The record is from RNAcentral. Lineage: Eukaryota; Metazoa; Chordata; Mammalia; Primates; Galagidae.
GUUGCUCUGUGCAAGACCCAAGGAAAGCUAGGAGGCUGUACAGUUAUCUCCCUUGAUAUAAUUCUAAACUAUACAACCUACUACCUCAACCUGGGAACAUGCAGUCACAAUGGC